RNAcentral lists this ribosomal RNA (389 nucleotides) under uncultured bacterium. RNAcentral's name for it is "bacterial SSU rRNA". It matches the Rfam family "Bacterial small subunit ribosomal RNA", at positions 28 to 417 of the family's 1533-position model. The record is from RNAcentral.
GACGAACGCUGGCGGCGUGCUUAACACAUGCAAGUCGAGCGGUAAGGCCCUUUCGGGGGUACACGAGCGGCGAACGGGUGAGUAACACGUGGGUGACCUGCCCUCAGCUCUGGGAUAAGCCUGGGAAACUGGGUCUAAUACCGGAUAUGACUCCAUGACGCAUGUUGUGGGGUGGAAAGCCUUGUGCGGCUGAGGAUGGGCCCGCGGCCUAUCAGCUUGUUGGUGGGGUGAUGGCCUACCAAGGCGACGACGGGUAGCCGGCCUGAGAGGGCGACCGGCCACACUGGGACUGAGACACGGCCCAGACUCCUACGGGAGGCAGGCAGUGGGGAAUCUUGCGCAAUGGGCGAAAGCCUGACGCAGCGACGCCGCGUGAGGGAUGACGGCCU